Oncorhynchus tshawytscha (Chinook salmon) is the source of this 1034-nucleotide long non-coding RNA. Lineage: Eukaryota; Metazoa; Chordata; Actinopteri; Salmoniformes; Salmonidae. The record is from Ensembl.
UGUGUGUGUGUACGGAGAGAGGGGCAGUGACUUGUGGUCUCUCACCUCCUAAAGGAAUGGGUGCGUUCUUCCAUCCGAGGUGAGGGGUCAAAGGUGAGGGGUGGGGGUCAGAGACUGAACUUGACCUAGGGACCGGUGUCCAGCCAGCAUCUUUCACAAACAACAAGAAAGCACACCAGUCACAGUUCAGAACAGGCUCUAUCCAUAGAGUUGGUUAGAGGACUCAACUUGGAUAUAACCUGUUUUAACACAGACAUUGCCACUGAGCGCUUACACCAUUGUAAAGUAGUCAACUGGGUGGGGAUUCCUAUGGGUUGGGAGCGAUCAGCCAAUUAUCAGAGCAUUCAAAUUGGGUGUUAUGGUUUAGAAAUGGCUUUAAGCUAUAUCACCGCCAUCUAGUGGCCAAAAUAAAUAAAUGACACUCAGGAUUUGGUUCAGGACUCCAGCACUGUAGGUGGCGGUAAAUCAACAAUAUUAGCUUUUCACUUUUUUCAAACACAAAAGAGGAAGAAAAUGUAUAACUUUAAAAUGGAGAUGGCCCAUGCUGUCAGAUGCCAUAAGGGCACAGACACGAAGUUGAGAUGUCUUUCCAUCUCUAUGGUUCUAUCUCAGUCUCCAAUGCAUUUCUUUACAUCAACUCUUAUUGCAAAAUGAUUCUGUUUUUUCACGCAUUGUAUUAAACCUUCCCAUAGUCGCCUCAUCUCAACUCUGAUUCAUACACUUCACACUUCUAUAUAUGACUUCAUACAACAAUAACCCACAGGGGGCAAACAUGUACCAAGGCCUCUUCCCCUGUUGCACUACCAUUCACCCAGCACUGCAAGAGGAAAACAAACUACCACGUCACAGUAGGGAACUGACAGUUGGUUAGUGUGUGACGUUCUCAGAGAUCCAACAGUUGGUUAGUGUGUGACGUUCUCAGAGAUCCAACAGUUGGUUAGCGUGUGACGCUCUCAGAGAUCCAACAGUUGGUUAGUGUGUGACGUUCUCAGAGAUCCAACAGUUGGUUAGCCGUGGACGCUCUCAGAGAUCCA